AUGCCCACAUUCAGCCGUCAAUCUUUAGUUAGCAUAUCAGUCACACAAGGUUCUAGGGUGGAUCAUAUGAGGUCUUUUUUGGCUUUGAAACUUCCACCAUCUGCAGAGGCAAGAGAACCCAAGUUCAAAGUCAGUCUGAUCUACAUAGCAAGUUCCCAGCCAGUGAAACAACAGCAACAAAACCAAAACUUCAUCACCUUAUUUGGUCUUAGCAUACCGGAUUUGAUGGUCACCAAAUCACCAAACCACCGUGAGAUCAAGGAAGCGGUGCCAACAACAUGGAGAGAGUGUCUGGGAGGAGAGUCUGGAUUCAAAAGACCCAGCAGGGACUGCUCUGUGAUCAAAUCCGACUUGACAGGCAGGGCCAUUUGCUCUGCUGUCAUCUCUAAGCAGGGAUCUUGGAUGACAUAUUUGGUAUGCUCUUGAGAUGCCACAGUGUGUAAACGGAAGGGCAGACAUAUGUUCAAGCCAUGAGGGGAAAACAAAGCUGUGCAUGGUCAAGAUGACUCAGGCCUCUCCAGUUCCUAAUAAAC
Molecule: long non-coding RNA, 533 nt
Filed under: Cricetulus griseus (Chinese hamster)
Lineage: Eukaryota; Metazoa; Chordata; Mammalia; Rodentia; Cricetidae
Description: lncRNA (ENSCGRG00000025659.1)
Source: RNAcentral